AGCCGCCUACGGGGGGCAGCAGUGAGGAAUAUUGGUCAAUGGGCGGAAGCCUGAACCAGCCAAGUCGCGUGAGGGAGUAAGGCCCUACGGGUCGUAAACCUCUUUUGCCGGGGAGCAAGGGCGGGGACGUGUCCCGGCCCGGAGAGUACCCGGAGAAAAAGCAUCGGCUAACUCCGUGCCAGCAGCCGCGGUAAUACGGAGGAUGCGAGCGUUAUCCGGGUUUAUUGGGUUUAAAGGGUGCGUAGGCGGGCCUUUAAGUCAGCGGUAAAAACUCGGGGCUCAACUC
Molecule: ribosomal RNA, 286 nt
Filed under: uncultured bacterium
Lineage: Bacteria
Description: partial 16S ribosomal RNA
Rfam family: Bacterial small subunit ribosomal RNA
Source: RNAcentral